Molecule: ribosomal RNA, 253 nt
Filed under: uncultured bacterium
Lineage: Bacteria
Description: partial 16S ribosomal RNA
Rfam family: Bacterial small subunit ribosomal RNA
Source: RNAcentral
UACGUAGGGUGCAAGCGUUGUCCGGAAUUAUUGGGCGUAAAGAGCUCGUAGGCGGUUUGUUGCGUCGGCUGUGAAAUCCCGAGGCUCAACCUCGGGUCUGCAGUCGAUACGAGCAAACUAGAGUGUUGCAGGGGAGACUGGAAUUCCUGGUGUAGCGGUGAAAUGCGCAGAUAUCAGGAGGAACACCGGGGGCGAAGGCGGGUCUCUGGGCAGUAACUGACGCUGAGGAGCGAAAGCGUGGGGAGCGAACAGG